RNAcentral lists this non-coding RNA (700 nucleotides) under Trichostrongylus vitrinus. The record is from RNAcentral. Lineage: Eukaryota; Metazoa; Nematoda; Chromadorea; Rhabditida; Trichostrongylidae.
UUAUAAAGAAUACUUUUAUAGAUUUUAAAUUUGAUUAUGAUUUAAAAAUAAUUAAAAUAAUAUUAUUUAAGUUUAAUUUAUAGAAUGGGCAAUAUUUUUUUACCCUGGUAAUUAAUUAUUUGUAUAAUAUUUGUUCCAGAAUAAUCGGCUACACUUAUAAAAUUUAAACUUUAUUUUUGGUAAAUUAUAAUAUUGUUAAUAAAAAUUUGUAUAAUUUUAGGUUAAAUUUAAAUUAUUUAAAAGGUUAGGAUUAUAAUUAUAAAUUUUGAUAAUCAAAUUAGAUUAGUACCUAAUUAGGCAAAGUUUAAAAGUGCAGAAGUAAAGUGGUAUUUAAACUGUAAGAAUAUUGGCAGACUUGCUAAAUUAUCUUUGGAGGUUGAAUAGUAAAUGAGAACCCUCAUUAUCUACUAAUAUUAUAGGCUCAUGUAUGAUCGUUUAUUUUGCUUUUAAGAAGUAUAAUAAUAAAUUUUUAUUUAAUUUAUAAAAAUAGAUAUAUAUUUGGUUAAUAUAUAAGUAAAAUUUGACCUACAUUAUAUAAUUAUGUGGAUAAUUAAUGUGGAGUUAGUUUGAAAAUGUAAAAGACAGUAAAAAAUUUUAAUAGUUUUUGAAGAUUAUUUAGAAGUGGUACAAAUCAUCCAUCAAUUGCCCACAGGGGAGUAAGUUGUAGUAAAGUAGAUUUAGGGGAACCUGAAUCUAAUAA